Molecule: small nuclear RNA, 116 nt
Organism: Eptesicus fuscus (big brown bat)
Lineage: Eukaryota; Metazoa; Chordata; Mammalia; Chiroptera; Vespertilionidae
Product: U5 spliceosomal RNA
Exons: 1
Source: RefSeq, a predicted model, not a curated record
GUACUCUGCUUCCUCUUCAGGUCGCACACAUCCUUCGCCUUUGACUCCAGAUUUCCGCGGAGAGGAACAAUUCUGAGCUUUGAAGCAAUUUUUUGAGGCCUUGCAUCUGCAAGGCU